CGCGCACAGUCACCACUGUUAACAUAACGUCGUCUUUAUCCUCACUAUUCAAAAGGGAAAAGAGAAUAAAUGCAUCGAGUGGCGAUUUGUGCAAGGGAGAUAUAGUUGGAUCUACUUCACCGAUAUAGCGCUCACCGACCGACACCGGAGUGCGAAGCACCGGCCAGACCGUAUCAAAUAUCCGAUUUCCAAGACUGAAUUUAUGAGGAAGCGAUUGUGGGAAGUCGUUGAAAUGGAAAACAAUGAUAUUAGGAAUGAGCAUUGCUGUGGAAAGACAAUAGAACUACACCCUGCACUCUUUAAGGACAAUAGCAUGAGCAAGGGAGGUGUCUUUAAGGAAAAGGGACAAGUAUUGAGGGAGCAUUCCAGAUCAAUUUGUAGACCACCGAGUAUCAAUUGCCGUAUUCAGUCAUUUGGGCGUAUUUGUAAGAAAUUUGAUGAAAGAAGGACUAGAUGGGUGAAUGAGAUGGCGUUUGGAGGCAUUCUUCAUCUUGUGUCAGACAUGCAUGUACCAAGACAAUUAUCGUAUUGGAUUAUGACUAGAAUUGAUCCACUUAAUAGGAUCUUGAUUGCUCCAGAUGGACAUGAGUUUCCGCUGUCAAAGAAUCAAGUUAGAUGGAUAUUAGGUACACCCAGUGGUAACAAGUCCGUGCCAAGUUCUAAAAUGAUGAACAAUGAAGUUCGUGAGAAGGUUCAUAAGGUGAUACUCCAAUAUGGGAGUUCAUGGAAAACAAAAUCUAGUAGAGGAUGUGGAAGUGUUUAUAUAUCUGUCGGUAUUCCGGUAACUAGUAAAAUGAUGGAUAGAUUAGAGGGAAACUUUGGUGAAGAUGAGGAAGAGGAAUUCAAGACACUAUUUCUUAUCCUUUUGCUGCAUAUGGUAAUGUGUCCAACCCAAUCACCUCGGCUAGCCACAGAUUUAAUACCGGCUGUUAGCUGUGUCAAGAACUGUAAGGAGUAUGAUUGGAGUGAUUUGGUGUUGAAGAAAUUGAUGGCUAGUGUGUCCAGUUUUGCUCGGCGUUUCUAUGCAACUGGAUAUGCUGGUGGAUGUGGAGGAUGUGCGAUAUUUGCUGUUAUUUUUUAUCACGACAGGCUAAAUGGGCCUUCUUUACAAUGGGAUGUGUUCCCUAGGAUAAAGGUGUGGACCAAGCAUGCAAUCUCAAUGGCAGCGAAGGCGGACCGGACAAGAUAUGGGGACUACGGGAGGUUAGGGGUUAGAUUCUAAUCAACAACUGUACUUCGUAUUAUUCAUCUACACAUGUUUGAGGGUUGUUGAAUAUUUACAAGGGAAACGGAAAUUUUUAUAGUAUUGCUUAGAGUUACUUGAUUUUUGUGCAUUUGGUUGAUGUUGCCUACGGAGAGAGUCAUUACAGGAUUGCUAGGGACUUUGAAGCACCAGUUGAGAAUGUUGUGCUUAGAGAUGUCUCCGAGGUGAUGGGGUCUAAAACUGAAAGGCAAAGGCGCUCUGGUCGUCAAGGAAGAACCAAGGUUGAACAUGCUAAUAAUGUAACAAAGAAACAUAUUGGUUAUCGCUAUGCUUAAGUUAACAUGUGGUGUAACUGUAACAAUAAUUAAUUGUAUUUUACAAAAGGUGACGGUAUUUGUACGCCUUACAAACGCACGACAAUGAUUCGUAGUUAUUGAAAAUUUUGUUUUUCGAUAGAUUUUGUAAUCAGAUAAAGGAAUAUCUCCAUCACAGU
Chenopodium quinoa (quinoa) is the source of this 1697-nucleotide RNA transcript. RefSeq lists it as uncharacterized. NCBI's taxonomy places the organism in Eukaryota, Viridiplantae, Streptophyta, Magnoliopsida, Caryophyllales, Amaranthaceae. The record is from RefSeq and is a predicted model, not a curated record. The transcript has 7 exons.